Thalassophryne amazonica is the source of this 227-nucleotide long non-coding RNA. RefSeq lists it as uncharacterized. NCBI's taxonomy places the organism in Eukaryota, Metazoa, Chordata, Actinopteri, Batrachoidiformes, Batrachoididae. The transcript has 5 exons. The record is from RefSeq and is a predicted model, not a curated record.
CUACAAAAAAUUAAUGAAGGGAUGCAGACGGUCCAUUUCACUGCAUCCUGUGAGGGUGGCCUGGCAGAGUUUAAACUGGAAGAUGGUGAUGUUGAUGAAGAGGCACAGAUGGUCCAUUUCACUGCAUCCUGUGAGGGCAGCCCGGCAGAAGUUAAAGUAGAAGAGGAUGUUGAAGAUGAUGGUGACUUCAGGUUGGACCCAGAUUUCAGUCUGCCCCUGAAUGACAG